Molecule: long non-coding RNA, 511 nt
Organism: Astatotilapia calliptera (eastern happy)
Lineage: Eukaryota; Metazoa; Chordata; Actinopteri; Cichliformes; Cichlidae
Source: Ensembl
GUUAUACCGACUACGUGCCAGUGCCUGAUCUUAUUAUAAAAGGCGGGUACCAAAAACCAAAACCAGCACCUUAGUGGUCCAGUGUUGGCCUUUGAUGUUACCUGUUCUGGGAGGAGCUCCUGCUGAAAGAUCACAGAUGUGUUCCUGCUGUCCUCUCAACGUCUUGAUGUCCCUGCAGCUCCACUUUAUCACCACUAGAUGGCAGACUUCUCCCUGUUUCUGGUCCCUGUUAGAGGAUAAGAACAUGUUCCAGUCCAGACUGCAAGCUGCUGCUUUUUCCUCCACAUGUCGCAUUUCUGAUGUCCUGUAGAGUCGCUGAUCCACAGGUGAUCGAUCCACAGCUGUGUCCUGCAGGAGGAGCACCAGCUCAGACACUGGAUGGCAGCAGGAGGCUCUGUGUGUGUUUAAUGUGUAAUAAAAGUGUCUGUAACUGUCCUGUGAUGGAGCCCUGUCACGCUCGGUCCUUUUAUUUCAUUAUAUCUGUUUCAAUAAACGCGUCCCCGCUCUGUGA